GGAUAACAGCCGGAAACGGCUGCUAAUACCGCAUAAGCGCACAAGACCGCAUGGUCUGGUGUGAAAAACUCCGGUGGUAUGAGAUGGGCCCGCGUCUGAUUAGCCAGUUGGCGGGGUAGAGGCCCACCAAAGCGACGAUCAGUAGCCGACCUGAGAGGGUGACCGGCCACAUUGGGACUGAGACACGGCCCAAACUCCUACGGGAGGCAGCAGUGGGGAAUAUUGCACAAUGGGGGAAACCCUGAUGCAGCGACGCCGCGUGAGCGAAGAAGUAUUUCGGUAUGUAAAGCUCUAUCAGCAGGGAAGAUAAUGACGGUACCUGACUAAGAAGCCCCGGCUAAAUACGUGCCAGCAGCCGCGGUAAUACGUAGGGGGCAAGCGUUAUCCGGAUUUACUGGGUGUAAAGGGAGCGCAGGCGGUACGGCAAGUCUGAUGUGAAAGCCCAGGGCUCAACCCUGGUACUGCAUUGGAAACUGCCGGACUAGAGUGUCGGAGGGGUAAGUGGAAUUCCUAGUGUAGCGGUGAAAUGCGUAGAUAUUAGGAGGAACACCAGUGGCGAAGGCGGCUUACUGGACGAUGACUGACGCUGAGGCUCGAAAGCGUGGGGAGCAAACAGGAUUAGAUACCCUGGUAGUCCACGCCGUAAACG
This 649-nucleotide ribosomal RNA is filed under the name uncultured bacterium. RNAcentral's name for it is "bacterial SSU rRNA". It matches the Rfam family "Bacterial small subunit ribosomal RNA", at positions 141 to 808 of the family's 1533-position model. The record is from RNAcentral.